Molecule: ribosomal RNA, 429 nt
Filed under: uncultured bacterium
Lineage: Bacteria
Description: bacterial SSU rRNA
Rfam family: Bacterial small subunit ribosomal RNA
Source: RNAcentral
UGGGGAAUUUUGGACAAUGGGCGCAAGCCUGAUCCAGCAAUGCCGCGUGCAGGAUGAAGGCCUUCGGGUUGUAAACUGCUUUUGUACGGAACGAAACGGCGCACACUAAUACUGAGCGCUAAUGACGGUACCGUAAGAAUAAGCACCGGCUAACUACGUGCCAGCAGCCGCGGUAAUACGUAGGGUGCAAGCGUUAAUCGGAAUUACUGGGCGUAAAGCGUGCGCAGGCGGUGAUGUAAGACAGAUGUGAAAUCCCCGGGCUCAACCUGGGACCUGCAUUUGUGACUGCAUCGCUAGAGUACGGUAGAGGGGGAUGGAAUUCCGCGUGUAGCAGUGAAAUGCGUAGAUAUGCGGAGGAACACCGAUGGCGAAGGCAAUCCCCUGGACCUGUACUGACGCUCAUGCACGAAAGCGUGGGGAGCAAACAGG